RNAcentral lists this ribosomal RNA (475 nucleotides) under uncultured organism. RNAcentral describes it as "partial 16S ribosomal RNA". It matches the Rfam family "Bacterial small subunit ribosomal RNA", at positions 335 to 801 of the family's 1533-position model. The record is from RNAcentral.
ACUCCUGCGGGAGGCAGCAGUGGGGAAUAUUGCACAAUGGGCGCAAGCCUGAUGCAGCCAUGCCGCGUGUAUGAAGAAGGCCUUCGGGUUGUAAAGUACUUUCAGCGGGGAGGAAGGCGAUAAGGUUAAUAACCUUGUUGAUUGACGUUACCCGCAGAAGAAGCACCGGCUAACUCCGUGCCAGCAGCCGCGGUAAUACGGAGGGUGCAAGCGUUAAUCGGAAUUACUGGGCGUAAAGCGCACGCAGGCGGUCUGUCAAGUCGGAUGUGAAAUCCCCGGGCUCAACCUGGGAACUGCAUUCGAAACUGGCAGGCUAGAGUCUUGUAGAGGGGGGUAGAAUUCCAGGUGUAGCGGUGAAAUGCGUAGAGAUCUGGAGGAAUACCGGUGGCGAAGGCGGCCCCCUGGACAAAGACUGACGCUCAGGUGCGAAAGCGUGGGGAGCAAACAGGAUUAGAAACCCCUGUAGUCCCAUGAU